Non-coding RNA from Procambarus clarkii (red swamp crayfish), 3485 nucleotides. Lineage: Eukaryota; Metazoa; Arthropoda; Malacostraca; Decapoda; Cambaridae. The record is from RefSeq and is a predicted model, not a curated record.
CUCGGUAGGCCCAAAUGUGUACCAACAAAUAUCGUUUAGUCAACGACACUAUCGUAAGUCAUCGCAUUUUUCGAUCAAAUUUACAUCGUAACUCAAAAUUAUUGUAAGUCGAGGUGCCACUGUAUUCAUAUUAAUAAGAGCAAAAUAGGAUUUUCAUUAAAUGAUAUCUGAAAUUUCAAGUUGAGUAUUCUCAUACAUGGAGGCAGAAUAGUGCACGUGACAAUAAAUAUGGCAUGAGACACAAUCAAGUAAACUACACGAGCUAAUGAAGCCUUGUGGUGUAUGCACUUGCCUAUAACUUUUAACUUUAUUUAUUUAUAUAAAUAUAUAGUAAACAUUACAAAGAUUAAAAUCUUAAUUCAUGUAAACAAAAUAAUUUUUUUCAUUAGACUUGCUGUAACUUAAAAAAAAAUCUCAUGUUCUCCAGUUUUUAAUAUUCACAUGAAAUAAUCAUUAGGUAUAAUCACGACUAGAGGAAUUGUUAGUAUAUAUAAGCUACACAAUAGUGUUCUGCCAGCCCCAGCCAAGAUAAACAUUAAACAAAGGAAUAUCUUAUUAUACGUGUUGACACUUUUUUUUAUAUAUAUAUAUAACCAUUAGCAGUAUGCCUGAAAAUUCAAUAGUUUGAUCAUUCUCUGUCUCCAAUUAUGUAUUUAUCAAGAGUGCUAAGCCAGGAUUGCUUUAUAGCACUAGUCCAUUUGUUAAAUUACACAUUUUAAAGCAAUUCGACUGACAGUUACUUUGGUAUACUACCAGUAACCAUUUGUAAAUUUAUACCUAUUACACAGUUCACUAGUCAUUGCAAACUGGUAAAAUAUAUAAUAGUUUAUAUAGAAUGCAAUACAAAUCACUAAAAAUUCCUACACCAGUUGCAUUAAAUAAAAAGAUUACAUACUACCGUGUCCGUAAUGUCAAAUCAUGUUCAAGAACAUAUUUUUAUAUGGUUGAGCACUAUUUUGUAAGAAAUCUAUUUUAUUCCAUGAAAACUUAAUUUACGUGUUUUUCCCUCCAUUGCACACUAAUGGUAAAAAGUUAUUAAUAGUUUUAUAAUAUACAAUAUAGGUUUGUAUCCAGAAUUGUAUGGGAAAAGGGGGUGGGGGGUAGGGGGGGGGGAGAUUGUCACUGGUACAGUAUCUUGUUUGAGCACUUAUCAUAAGUAUAAAACUCACAAGACAUGUUAGGGAAGAGGUUGAGUGCACUAACCUCUCCUCUAUACCAUAAAUAUGGUAGAUACCAUACUAUUAGAUUAAAAAAAAGUUACAGCAACAGGCAGAGGAAUUUUUAUUGCAAGUUGGGCUUCGUAAUCUCUAUCAACAUGUAUACCUCAUUGCUGAAAGGAAUAUGUUUUAACACUGUGUAAAUAGUUAUAUAUUGAAAAAUAUUACAUGGUCAUACAUUGUUUGUGCUUGCUAUCUUUGAAAUCGAGAACUAUAAGUAUCCUAUUUAUAAACAAAAAUUAAUAUUCUCUCCUUUAAAGAAUGGCACUAUUAACUAAUGCUUAAAUUUGUCUUUUAAAGUUAAAAAUAUUUUUAUUCCAUUAUACAGGGCUGCAGGUUUUCUCUUUGCUACAUUGCCUUCCCGGCUUGGUGCCUUCUUUUGAUAAUUACAUUACAUUAGUUUUCUGUUCAAAUAGUCAUGUUCCCUAUUCAGAAGAGGGUGGUGCAUUUGUAAUCUACAUUACAAAUUAUAUUAUUGACAUCUUCAUAGCUUGAGGAGCUGCAUAAGCAGCCCAUCCUCCUAAGGUUUCCCAAUGUCAAGAAACUGUUGUACUAAAGUACUCCUAUCCUAACCUACCAGAGGCCCCAAAACAGAAAACAGGACAGUAUGUCAAUUUUGUGAGCUGCUACCAUUUUCUAGUACAGGGUACAAUAAUUUUUGGCCUUGGGUAAAGUAUACGUCGAUAUGCGAUGUUCUAUUAGAAGGAUGGGUUGAUAUAAGAUAUAAGAAAAUAAGCAAAUAUAUUGAUGUGAUAAUCACUUAUGAAACAAGUUGCCACUUGCAUAAAGAGUAAGAAUGUGUGACCAGUACAAAAAUAUAAACAUGUUACUGAAGUGCCUGUCAGUGGACGUGCACAAAGACAAGUAUCUGGGAGUUUUAUUGUAAUAAAAAUACUUCAGCUUAAUCUCCUUCCAGCUCAGGGUGUAUUCCCCAGUUUACUUUUUCUUGAUAUUUUUCUAUAAUAGCAGUUAAGUUUUGCCAUCCCUCAACAAAGCUUUUUCUACAUACAGGAUUAAGAAUUGAACUUGAAAGUGUGGAUGAAUAUCAUUUUUAGUUCAUUGUGAAUUUUUUUUUAUUACUUAACAUUAGAGCACAUGUGACUUGUCCUGUAUGGGAAAUGUUAUACUGUACAUGUUCAUUUGCAAUUCAAGAAAUUGUAAGGUUGAGAUCAUUUAUAUCUGGUGAAAAGUUAAGCCCAUUUUUUAUAUUUUUAUAUAUAAAUAAAAUAAUACAAUAUAUUUUAUUUUGAAUUUUCCAUGCUACUGAUUUGGUGUUUAAAUUGGUAAAAUCUUGAAUGCUCGUGUUAGUUGAUUUCGUUGAAAAUAGUCAUGACAUUGGAGUUGUUUUGAAGCAUGAAGUAAAACAUAUUCACCGUUGAAAACUUUAUUAACCAAAACUAUGGUGAUCAACAUUUCUACUCUUCAGGGCAUGACUUGACAGUUUUAAUUUGAGUACAGAAUGUACUUCAAAAUGAACAGUGUGGGGGGCAUAAUGUGCAAAUGUAAAUUGUGUAAAUUAGAACUGAUACAAAUAUAGUUGAUGUUUGUAAGCCAUUAUUGUUAAUAGUGUAAAUACUUUAAAACAUACCAUAAAAAUCUUCUAUACACCAAGGGAUCAGCUGUAAGUUUGACUUUUUUAAGUAUUUGGGUAUUUGUUGUUCCUGGGUAUUUAUGUCAUGUAUAUGACUUAUAAUACUAAUGAUACUAGUUGUAAUAAAACCUGGACCUGGAGGUGCCACUGUAUAUAAUGUUAUGGUAAAGGCAACUGAAAAUAUUGGCAGAUAGCAUCCCCCAGGAAUAUGCUGUCAUUGUUCUCAAAUUUAAGCAUUUAUCUUUUUGUAUUUUUCUUUAAGAUCAAGUAUUGUUUGAUGGUAGUAGUUAAUGUUAAUGUCAAGAGUAUUUUAAUGUUCUUUUCUGUGCUUUCAUGAACUUCAAAUGCUCUUAUUGAACAUUUUUGGGAGCAAAACUGAGCAUACCAAUAAAAUCAAAUUCUUUACGUAGCAUGCCGAAGGUAUGAGUCCAAAAGUUAUUUAAUAAUGUCUUGCUAAAUGUUUUUCUUAUUUUGAAUUAGACAAUAGUAAUGAAUUUAUACUAAACCAAAAUGUUCAUUGACCAUGGGGAUUGACAAGAAAAAAAAUAAUUGUCGCACAACCGACUCGGGAUAAUGAGUGUUAAGAGUGUCUGACUUGGCACAUCACCAAAGAUGUAACUUUUUUAUAAUACUUUUGUACAUACUAGUCAAAUGUCUUAAUAAAGUCUUCUUUCUAA